Molecule: ribosomal RNA, 253 nt
Filed under: uncultured bacterium
Lineage: Bacteria
Description: partial 16S ribosomal RNA
Rfam family: Bacterial small subunit ribosomal RNA
Source: RNAcentral
UACGUAGGGUGCGAGCGUUGUCCGGAUUUAUUGGGCGUAAAGAGCUCGUAGGCGGUUUGUUGCGUCGGCUGUGAAAUACCGAGGCUCAACCUCGGGUCUGCAGUCGAUACGAGCAAACUAGAGUGUUGCAGGGGAGACUGGAAUUCCUGGUGUAGCGGUGAAAUGCGUAGAUAUCUGGAGGAACACCGGUGGCGAAGGCGGCAUCCUGGACCAACACUGACACUGAGGAGCGAAAGCCAGGGGAGCAAACGGG